AUGGAUCAGAUUUUGCCCGAGUUCGAGUACGUGUGCAUCAGCGCCUUCGUGCGUUUGGGUGUCUCAUCUCAUAGCAGAUUCGUUGUGAUGAUCGCAGAGCGGCCGGUGUCUUUCGAGAGGAUUCUGACCGCCUACGUGGAGCAAUCGCCUUCCUCCCUGUCAGUCGCAGAGGGAGAGCCGGCCACUCUCUCGUGUACGCUGCUGAAUACGGGCUAUCCAAAUAUGUACUGGUACAGACAGCGAUCCGGCCGGGCAAUUGAUGUUCUCUUCUAUUCUGCUGGGCAAGGUUUAGCUAUGAACUACACAUCUGAUUCCUACGCGGCGACAAGACCCAGCGAUACGCUGUUUAAACUGGAACUGAGGCGGGCAUCGUCCUCCCACUCCGCCGUCUACUUCUGCGCUUGUAGUAGCGCACAGAGCUUGAAGUAA
This is a non-coding RNA of Hypanus sabinus (Atlantic stingray), 429 nucleotides long. Lineage: Eukaryota; Metazoa; Chordata; Chondrichthyes; Myliobatiformes; Dasyatidae. The record is from the annotation of a RefSeq genome assembly.